RNAcentral lists this ribosomal RNA (465 nucleotides) under Vreelandella stevensii. Its description in RNAcentral is "partial 16S ribosomal RNA". It matches the Rfam family "Bacterial small subunit ribosomal RNA", at positions 338 to 795 of the family's 1533-position model. Lineage: Bacteria; Pseudomonadati; Pseudomonadota; Gammaproteobacteria; Oceanospirillales; Halomonadaceae. The record is from RNAcentral.
CCUACGGGUGUCAGCAGUGGGGAAUAUUGGACAAUGGGGGCAACCCUGAUCCAGCCAUGCCGCGUGUGUGAAGAAGGCCCUCGGGUUGUAAAGCACUUUCAGUGAGGAAGAACGCCUGGUGGUUAAUACCCAUCAGGAAAGACAUCACUCACAGAAGAAGCACCGGCUAACUCCGUGCCAGCAGCCGCGGUAAUACGGAGGGUGCGAGCGUUAAUCUGAAUUACUGGGCGUAAAGCGCUCGUAGGUGGCUUGAUAAGCCGGUUGUGAAAGCCCCGGGCUCAACCUGGGAAAGGCAUCCGGAACUGUCAAGCUAGAGUGCAGGAGAGGAAGGUAGAAUUCCCGGUGUAGCGGUGAAAUGCGUAGAGAUCGGGAGGAAUACCAGUGGCGAAGGCGGCCUUCUGGACUGACACUGACACUGAGGUGCGAAAGCGUGGGUAGCAAACAGGAUUAGAUACCCUAGUAGUC